GCAAAAAAAAAAAAAAACAACAGAAAGUCAGAUCAUAAGAACAUAAUCAUAAAAAUAUGUAUAUUCAAAUUAUUAAGGUCCCACAAGUGCAUAAAAAAAUGUUGGUUUUCACCACAUUAUCUGUUUACACAAAAUAUGAAAGUUCUGAUUUUCAGCUCAGUAUGAGCUAAUGAAAUACCACAGAAUACACAAGAUAAAUUAACUAUACUUAUGCAUCAACUCCCAUUCUUAACUCAAUAUACAAAUGUUGGGAAAAAAAUAUACCUCUAUAUUUAAUCACAUUUUCAUACUUUGAAUACAUAUAUAUUGAAUAAUAUAUACAAAUAUUUGAAGGCUUCAUUCAGCCAUUAUGUACCACAAAAAUAAAUUUUUUUUUUUUUACAACUUAGUCAAGUUCAUCAUCAUCAUAUUGCAAAAAAACAAUCAGUUUAAGCAUAUUGUACAGGAAGGAAGAAAAAAGUA
Molecule: non-coding RNA, 462 nt
Organism: Biomphalaria pfeifferi
Lineage: Eukaryota; Metazoa; Mollusca; Gastropoda; Planorbidae
Source: the annotation of a GenBank genome assembly